AGACAUUUGAGCUUUCCCUCUUUCAGGUGUUGAUAGGAGCACGUUGGAACAUGUUGUAUUGUAUUAAAUUGGCAUUCCAUGUUACUCAUCAAUUGUUUUCUUACUCAGCUAAGAAGCCUUAUUGUAAUGUCAGAAAAUACAUCCUAGCAGCGAUCUGCACUCCGAAAACAGACUUUCUGCGAUAAAUAGUUUAAAUUAGGAGCAGAUGUUUGCAAAAAAUUG
Molecule: non-coding RNA, 222 nt
Organism: Pelobates cultripes (western spadefoot toad)
Lineage: Eukaryota; Metazoa; Chordata; Amphibia; Anura; Pelobatidae
Source: the annotation of a GenBank genome assembly